Molecule: non-coding RNA, 73 nt
Organism: Gymnothorax javanicus (giant moray)
Lineage: Eukaryota; Metazoa; Chordata; Actinopteri; Anguilliformes; Muraenidae
Source: the annotation of a GenBank genome assembly
GGUGGGUCAGCGACGUGGUCAGCGCGUUUGGCUUUUACCCGGGAGUUUGGGGUUCAACUCCCCGCCCGGGCCC